This 75-nucleotide transfer RNA is filed under the name Pseudomonadota bacterium. RNAcentral's name for it is "tRNA-Gly". It matches the Rfam family "tRNA". From Rfam's summary of the family: Transfer RNA (tRNA) molecules are approximately 80 nucleotides in length. Their secondary structure includes four short double-helical elements and three loops (D, anti-codon, and T loops). The record is from RNAcentral. RNAcentral also lists the same sequence under 1 other name. Lineage: Bacteria; Pseudomonadati; Pseudomonadota.
GCGGAAGUAGUUCAGAGGUAGAACGUCUGCUUGCCAAGCAGAAGGUCGCGGGUUCGAAUCCCGUCUUCCGCUCCA